CGAAACAUAGUUUACCGGGAAAAACGCUGGUAUUACGAGCCAGAGAAGCAGAGUUCAAGUCCUGCUGUUUCGA
RNAcentral lists this transfer RNA (73 nucleotides) under Siphoviridae sp. ct8NQ14. RNAcentral's name for it is "tRNA-Val". It matches the Rfam family "tRNA". From Rfam's summary of the family: Transfer RNA (tRNA) molecules are approximately 80 nucleotides in length. The record is from RNAcentral. Lineage: Duplodnaviria; Heunggongvirae; Uroviricota; Caudoviricetes.